Molecule: unclassified non-coding RNA, 186 nt
Filed under: uncultured fungus
Lineage: Eukaryota; Fungi
Description: sequence contains ITS1, 5.8S rRNA gene
Source: RNAcentral
ACGAAUUCAUCGGAGUUGUGCUGGUUCUUACAAGUGCACGCUCCUUAAUUCCAUUCACACCCAACGUGCACUCUAAGAGACGUAUUUCCCCUGUUUACGUGCCUUCGAUGGCUUGGGAUUUCGUCUGUUUAACACACUCUUAUUGUAAUAGAAUGUAACUUGGCUUAAUCGCCUAAAACUAUAAUA